Long non-coding RNA from Salvelinus sp. IW2-2015, 1212 nucleotides. RefSeq lists it as uncharacterized. The record is from RefSeq and is a predicted model, not a curated record. NCBI's taxonomy places the organism in Eukaryota, Metazoa, Chordata, Actinopteri, Salmoniformes, Salmonidae.
UUGGAGAUGUAUACAGUUGACGUAAGAAAAAUCAAAAUGUCUGUGUUUGCAGCCAGCACUUUCAGACAGAGGAUUUCGAAACGGAACUGAAUCAACUGAUGGGGUUGCAAUGUCGUUGAGCUUUGAAAAGUGAUGAUAUUCCAUUGAAAUUCCCCUUCACCUCAAAGCGGAAGGCACCCGAUCCGCGCAGCAGAAAAUAAGUUAAGCUGAGAGUAUGAUCCCAUCAACAUCUGCAGCGGCAUCAAGCUCAGCACCAAGAACCUAAAAUCUACUAAAUCUUUCCAUGACUCCAUGAUGAGCAAAUAAAUAAACUGGAGCUAGGAACAAACAUGGUCCGUGUCUUGUUGUCAUAGUUGGUGUGUUUACAAGUAGGCUACAACUUCUACUGUAGCUUUCUCUGUAUUAUGGAGGCUUAGUUGAUUGUUCAUGCAAGGCUUGAAGUCUAAAUUGGGAAAAAUAGGUAUUAGUAAGGAGGGGAUGGUGUGGGUGACUGACUUGUGUCUGUUGGAGGUGGGUAUUGUGUGAAGGUUAGUAUGCAUGAUCUAUUGACAUGAAUGGGGUGGGUGGAUAUAGUAUCUUGUUUGAGUGUGUAUUGAUGGGGACAAAGUAGUAAAAUGUUGCUUAAUCACUGACUUCUGUGUGUCCUACACACUAAUCCUGCUGCUGCUGCUGAUGAUGGCUUUGACACCGGCUUUAGUAGUACAGCGCCUGUAGACCCAUUGGAUGAAAGCUUUCAGCCUGGAAUAAGCUCAAGCUCAACAUCAUCUGACUUUGAAACAAGCCAGGGCAGCCAAAGGAGACUUGCAGUACAAACAAAUCUUCUGCAAGAGGUCGAAGCAGUGGGGGGUGAAAAAGUGUACGAGAGGCCACAUGGCUGUGAAGUGCAGAAAAGAGCAGACGGUUGUCUACAAGGAGCCAGAGUCACAGCUCCACUAAACAUCUCUGCCAACAUCACCACAGCGCCAAAGCCUGCUAAACCAGCUAUCAUUACCCAACACAAGAAGAGGGUCACCAGCUGAAAAACAUUCAGGAACCUGCCUGGAACAUUCAACCAACACAACAUCCAUAUUUUGUAAUAUAAUAUGUAAAUGCCUAGUAUGCUCACAACUGCAUUGUGGUAUAUAUAUUGCUAGCUGUUGUACAUACAGUUGAAGUGGGAAGUUUACAUGAACUUAGGUUGGGAGUCAUUAAAAUUUGAUUUUCAACCACAAA